This is an RNA transcript of Glycine soja, 1776 nucleotides long. It is a transcript of the gene named pentatricopeptide repeat-containing protein At1g05600-like, with no coding region annotated. Lineage: Eukaryota; Viridiplantae; Streptophyta; Magnoliopsida; Fabales; Fabaceae. The transcript has 2 exons. The record is from RefSeq and is a predicted model, not a curated record.
UCGGAUAAAAAGGUUGGUUUUGCCGAGAUCUUGCUGUCUCCCCGAUAAAACUAAUUUAAGUCGCUCUUCUGAUUUCUGAAACUUACUCCAUACAUGAUCGGCGACAACAUCCUUCUCAGUACUCACUACUCAGGUCAGAUUUCAAUUCUCCCUUCUAUUUGUCUCUCUUCAUUAAUAUCCUUUGACUUUGUUCCAUGGCAAUAAAGCUUCCAUCUUCGGCACACCCUACUCGAUUCCUCAGAUGGGUUUAUCUCUCUUCAAGCUGUAUUGCAGAUAUUUCAGAAACCCCUGGAAUUCUUAAGCCCAAGGAUUCAUCUGAAUUCGACCAAAACCUCAACUUUUUGAAAAAUAAGCUUGCCCCAGAUAACUUAAUCCGGGUUCUGGACCGUACAAGCGAUUUGAACUCGGCAGUGAGGAUAUUCAAAUGGGCUUCAAGGCAGAAGAGUUUUCACCACACUUCCAACACUUAUUUCAGGAUAAUUUUGAAACUGGGUAUGGCCGGGAAAGUUUUGGAAAUGAGGGAUUUUUGUGAAUACAUGGUUAAGGAUAGGUGCCCGGGUGCUGAAGAAGCUCUUGUGGCAUUGGUUCAUACAUUUGUGGGGCAUCGUAGGAUUAAAGAAGCUAUUGUAGUCUUAGUGAAUAUGAAUUUGGGUGGUUAUAGGCCCCCAAUUGAAGUUUUUAAUGUUUUAUUGGGUGCUCUUGUGGGAGGAGAGAGUAGAGAUUUUCAAAGUGCCUUGUUUGUUUAUAAAGAGAUGGUGAAGGCAUGUGUGUUACCUACAGUUGACAUUUUGAAUUAUUUGUUGGAGGUUUUGUUCGCCACCAAUCGGAAUGAGUUGGCUUUACAUCAAUUUAGAAGAAUGAACAAUAAAGGGUGCGAUUCAAAUAGUAAGACCUUUGAGAUUCUUGUAAAGGGUCUCAUUGAAAGUGGUCGAGUGGAUGAAGCUGCUACUGUUUUAGAGCAAAUGCUCAAACACAAAUGUUAACCUGAUUUGGGUUUUUAUACUUGUAUUAUACCUCUCUUUUGCAGAGAAAAUAAAGUAGAGGAGGCUGUGAAGUUGUUUAAAAUGAUGAAGGAUUCCGAUUUUGUACCCGAUUCUUUCAUUUAUGAGGUUCUAUUACGGUGCUUUUGCAACCACUUGCAGUUGGAUUCUGCUGUAAGCCUCAUAAAUGAGAUGAUAUAAAUUGAUUGCUCGAAGGUUGCUGCAAUGCUAGUGAGGUUCUGGCAGCAAAUGUUCUGCUUGAGACAAUGUCUGAGAGAAACAUAGCUGAUUGCCAAUCUUGGAAUAUUCUCAUUAGAUGGCUUUGUGAAGAGAUGCUCAUUCUGAAGAUGCCAUUGAAGUGUUUCACUAUAUGUCUGUAACAUCAAGCAUUCUGAAGAUGCCAUUGAAGUGUUUCACUAUAUGUCAAUGAAGAGAUGCUCUCUUCAUUCCUUGUCCUUCUACAAGUUGAUAAAAUGUCUAUGGCAAUUAGCUUAUUUCUGUGGUAUGUCAUGCUGUAUUGCUACACACACGACUAUCAUGCAUGAGCUGUCAAAAUCAAGAAGGGCAGAAGAUCUGUUAGCAUUCCUCUCACAAAUGUCGAUGGUAGGAAGCAAUCUUGAUUUGGAAGCAUAUUGUAUACUUUUUCAAAGCAUGAGUAAACAAAAUAAAGUAAAGGAAUGUGUUUUAUUUUUCAAUAUGAUGGUCCAUGAAGGUCUAAUACCUGAUCCGGACAGACUAUUUGUUCAACUGUCAUUCAUAGCCAAUCAUUCUCAGUUAUCUAUGAUUCCUAGUGCAA